GCGGCUAUGUUGGAAUUGGUAGACAAGCUUGGUUGAGGGCCAAGUGGGAUAUCCCGGUGACAGUUCGAGUCUGUCUAGCCGCACCA
Molecule: transfer RNA, 86 nt
Filed under: Candidatus Pelagibacter sp.
Lineage: Bacteria; Pseudomonadati; Pseudomonadota; Alphaproteobacteria; Candidatus Pelagibacterales; Candidatus Pelagibacteraceae
Description: tRNA-Leu
Rfam family: tRNA
About the family: Transfer RNA (tRNA) molecules are approximately 80 nucleotides in length.
Source: RNAcentral